Molecule: long non-coding RNA, 1039 nt
Filed under: Homo sapiens (human)
Lineage: Eukaryota; Metazoa; Chordata; Mammalia; Primates; Hominidae
Description: HSALNT0209911
Source: RNAcentral
CAGAAAGCCAAUUAGGAGACAACGAGAAUUCUCGGGGAACAAAGGCUUUAUUUAAUUGGGUGCCGCGCAGCUGAGGAGAUGCAAGAUCAGUCUCAAAUCCAUUUCCCUGAUCUACUAAAACUGGGAGUUUAUGUAGUGGGGGAGGAAUAAAACUAUAUGUGGGUAAACAGGAAUUAGAGAGGGCUAAGGAAGAGGAGUUGGUCAACAGGAAGCAGGUGGUUGGAUAGGCAAUCACGAUGAGUGGGGGGUAUGGUGUCUCAUUGUCCGGAUGCUGUGAUCUGAAAACAACAACAGUAACAACAACAAAAACUCAAGAAACAGGAAUGCAAGCUCUACAUUUUGUUAAACUAAGGACAUUUCUUACUCGUAACAAUCAGAUAUAAAAAAGUGCUGCCACAGGGGCAAGAAUGAUGCUCAGAAGGUCUUUAAUGGCUACAAAUCUUGGAUUAAGCUGACUGAGCAGUUCUUACACCGAGAAGCAAAACAACAACCUUUUGUUUCAAGAAACAGGUGCAUCAUGCUAAUGCCUAUAUGUUUAUUCCUGCUACCUCCAAUAGUUCACUGAUAAUUCAGAUUCAGACCAAUGGAGAAACCAUGGGAGGAAAAAAACAAACUUUUACUCUGAUUUCCCUUGGAAUCCAGUCACCAUGCUGUGAGGAAAUCAAAGCCAAAGGGAAGUUUCACAUGAAGAGCAAUCAAGUCGUUUAGCCCUCAGCCUGAUGACCACCCUACUGACUGCUGCCCGUGUGAGUGAGCCAUCAUAAAAGCAAAUCCAUCAGUUUUCAACUGAGCCUCAGUUGAGGAUGCCUGGGAUAGAAACAAGUCUCUCCCAUAUAGAUCUUUCAAAACUGCAUGUUGGCAAGCCAAAUAAUUAUUGUUGUUUUAUGCUGCUAAGUUUUACAGAUGAUAUGUUUUCUAUUUAGCACUAUAUAAUAAAAGCAGAAAGUGACUUCAUAAUAAUAAAAUAGCAAAUUCAAUAGGAAUAUGCAAUAAAUUGAAUAUUUGAUAAUAAUAUAUCUUCAAAAUAUAUGGAAAAAAU